GCCGCAGGUCACCUUAUCGCUUUGUUUUAUACAGAGAGGAAAGUCCGGACACCACAGCGCAGCAUAGCGGCUAACAGCCGUCGGUCGUAAGAUUAGGACAAGUGCAAAAGAAAGGAUGUACAGGUAAUGCUGUAGUGAAAUCAGGUAAACUCUAUGCGGUGCAACGUCAUGUAAACCAAUGCUUGAGGGUUGCGCGCCCGAUGUUGGAGGGUAGGCGGCUAGAACGUUGCAGUAAUGUAACGGCGAGAUAAAUGAUAAGGAUCUUUUAUAGAUACAGAAUCCGGCUUAUGACCUGCUUUUUUU
RNAcentral lists this RNase P RNA (303 nucleotides) under Joostella atrarenae. RNAcentral's name for it is "RNase P RNA component class A". It matches the Rfam family "Bacterial RNase P class A". Rfam says of the family: Ribonuclease P (RNase P) is a ubiquitous endoribonuclease, found in archaea, bacteria and eukarya as well as chloroplasts and mitochondria. Its best characterised activity is the generation of mature 5'-ends of tRNAs by cleaving the 5'-leader elements of precursor-tRNAs. Lineage: Bacteria; Pseudomonadati; Bacteroidota; Flavobacteriia; Flavobacteriales; Flavobacteriaceae. The record is from RNAcentral.